AUGACACUUAGGAGUCACUAAUAUUGUAUUAUUAAUGAGAGAAUGAAGAGAUAACUUCAUUCCAUUUGGCCAGCCACCAUUGGGAGGUGUGGACAGGGAUUGAAGUAGGUAGAUGGGGUGCCCAGAUACAUUCCAUUUCCGUUCUUACAAUGAUUUGUUUAGCCUUGCCUGCCUGCACUGGGUCGACAAGUUCUCCCACAGAGCUGACUCUGUUUGUCCCAGAGAUCCAGAGCUUAGACCCUACCCUCUCUUCAAACCAUUCACAGCACAAGGGAAGCAAAUCCACAGUUAGAUGCAUGUUAAGGGUCCGAUGAGCAGUGCAUGUAUUAGGGAUUAAGUUGUUCAGAAAAGGGUGAUGUUGGUGCAGCUAGGAAAAUGUGGGGAAAGGUUCUUGGUAGAAUUGUGUCCAGACCCUAAUUUGUGUCCUUUUAGUUUCUUACCUGGACACAUGUCUUAGCCCACUCUAUUUCCAUUCUCCAUUUUCCAGUCUAUUUUCCCAAAAAUCCAGUCCUAGUAGUGUGACUCCCCUACCUAAACACUCUUCCUGUCCCCACCAUCACCAACUGCAGAGUGAAAGCCAGCCUACUUGGUCAGGUGUUCCUACUCCCCUUGGCCCAAGCCACCUCCUUUCCAGCCUCAUUUCCCUCUCCAUUCCUCUUGUGCUUCAGCUCAGCCCACAUGGAACCAUUUGACAUUAUCCUGACCUGGGGUGUUCCUUCACCCCUGUCUGCCUUGAACAAGCCUGCAGUGCUUUUCUUUCUCCACACCCUCCAUCCCCUCAUUUUCUUGCCAUACGAACUCUUUUCUGUCCACCCAAUAGUCUUUUCAAUGUCUGUGUAUAAAUUAUUUCAAAUUACUUCUUCUACUGGGAAUAAUCUUUCUCCUAUCUUUGGACUGUCUGCUGAGGUACCCUCCAAUCCUUCAAAAACAAAUUCAAAGGUUGUCUCCUCUGUGAGGAGCUUUCUCUCUUGUACCCUCCAU
Molecule: long non-coding RNA, 981 nt
Filed under: Marmota monax (woodchuck)
Lineage: Eukaryota; Metazoa; Chordata; Mammalia; Rodentia; Sciuridae
Source: RNAcentral